Molecule: transfer RNA, 76 nt
Filed under: hydrothermal vent metagenome
Description: tRNA-Lys-CTT
Rfam family: tRNA
About the family: Transfer RNA (tRNA) molecules are approximately 80 nucleotides in length. Their secondary structure includes four short double-helical elements and three loops (D, anti-codon, and T loops). Further hydrogen bonds mediate the characteristic L-shaped molecular structure. tRNAs have two regions of fundamental functional importance: the anti-codon, which is responsible for specific mRNA codon recognition, and the 3' end, to which the tRNAs corresponding amino acid is attached (by aminoacyl-tRNA synthetases). tRNAs cope with the degeneracy of the genetic code in two manners: having more than one tRNA (with a specific anti-codon) for a particular amino acid; and 'wobble' base-pairing, i.e. permitting non-standard base-pairing at the 3rd anti-codon position.
Source: RNAcentral
UCUGAGGUAGCUCAGUAGUUAGAGCACUCGGCUCUUAACCGAGAAGGCGCUGGUGCAAAUCCAGCUCUCAGACCCA